RNAcentral lists this ribosomal RNA (458 nucleotides) under uncultured bacterium. RNAcentral describes it as "partial 16S ribosomal RNA". It matches the Rfam family "Bacterial small subunit ribosomal RNA", at positions 338 to 795 of the family's 1533-position model. The record is from RNAcentral.
CCUACGGGAGGCAGCAGUGAGGAAUAUUGGUCAAUGGGCGCGAGCCUGAACCAGCCAAGUCGCGUGAGGGAGUACUGCCCUAUGGGUUGUAAACCUCUUUUGUCGGGGAGCAAAAGCCGGACGUGUCCGGCUGUGAGAGUACCCGAAGAAAAAGCAUCGGCUAACUCCGUGCCAGCAGCCGCGGUAAUACGGAGGAUGCGAGCGUUAUCCGGAUUUAUUGGGUUUAAAGGGUGCGCAGGCGGAUGUUUAAGUCAGCGGUAAAAUCGUGGGGCUCAACCCCAUCCAGCCGUUGAAACUGGGGAUCUAGAGUGUGCGAGAGGUAUGCGGAAUGCGUGGUGUAGCGGUGAAAUGCAUAGAUAUCACGCAGAACCCCGAUUGCGAAGGCAGCAUACCGGUGCACAACUGACGCUCAGGCACGAAAGCGUGGGUAUCGAACAGGAUUAGAUACCCGAGUAGUC